Molecule: non-coding RNA, 3212 nt
Organism: Sus scrofa (pig)
Lineage: Eukaryota; Metazoa; Chordata; Mammalia; Artiodactyla; Suidae
Source: RefSeq, a predicted model, not a curated record
AGUGCUCAUUUAUACAAUAUAUUCAUCUAAGACAGUUUUCAAGGAAAUGUAGGAAAAAAUUAUGAGUGAAUAAAAGGCUACAGUAAUUUGAAAUCUAAAUAUUGCAGAUUGAUAUUUGUCACUCUGUUUUGGCUAUGGCAUGAAUGAAAUUGUUUAUAGACUAGUCAUAAACUCUAGACACAUUGGCUUUAACUCCACUUCUUUCUCACUCAAGAACACACAUCAGAAACCGAAGCUGGUGGGAGUGAUCAUGCUGUCCAGCAUCAUGAUUUGCAUACAGGAAGAAUGAGCGAUCUUUAAAAGACUGAGCUCUGGGGUCUGAGAAUAGUUGUGAGGAUUAAAUGAAAGAAAAUAUAUACAGAACAUUCUUAGCAUAGGGUGGCACAUAGUAAGUCCUAAAUGAAUAUUACCAAUUGUUACUGUUAGCGUUGAUACUAUUGGAUCAAACAAAAGUAAACCUUUGAUAAACUUCAUUUUAUGAUCCAUGUAUCAGACUGAGCCCUUUUGAUAACAAGUUACAGAAACUCAGAGCUAGAUUAGGCAAAAAGAGAGAAAUUAUUGGUCUGUGAACCAAAAUACAGAAAAGGUAGCAUGGGUUGGCCUUGAGAAUGAUAUCCAUCAGGGGCUCAAACACACCAAGGGCCCUCUCUGUCUCUCUCCUGUCUGCAUCACCUGCAUUCUCUUAAACAACAAGCCGAGCUUCUUUCAUUGAUCAGGGCACACAGGCAUCAAGUGUUUCUAAUUUUACAGCCUCACCUCUUUGUAACCACAGAGAUGAUUGGAUUAAAACGCUCUGGAGAUAGUGAUGGCGCAGUCUGGGUCAUUGCUCUUCAAGGGAACAAUUUCUCUGGCUAGAGAAGAACCCCUUCCCCCUCCACCCACCACACUUGGCAGCAGCACCAAUCCACCAUGACUUUUGCUGAGGAUUUACAUCCUUUUAAGGAAUGGAGGUCAUGCGCUUGAGUACCUGCUCUCUCAACUGUGCAUGAUCACAGCCCAAAGAGCCACUUGUCCAGGAUGCACAGAUGGACAGGGAUGCUGGAGAUCACCUGAAUCACAUGGGACUUUGAACCAGAUAAACCUCCAGGGCUGCUGCCAAUGCUAAGAGGUGCUGCUUCCCCAGCAUCACCUGAGGCUGUGAGCUCCUGGAAUACGAAAGAUGUGCCUUGGCCCAUUCGUGGCUUCCCAGCUCUAGUCUCCAAUGACGGUCUCGAAGAUGCUGUGAUGAUGACAGAGAGACAGAGAGAAACAACAACAGCAGCAACUCCAUGUCUUGAAUACUCUUACUGGAAACUGUUUUCAAUUCCUCGCCUCCAUCACCUGGAUUCAUCCCCACCAUGAGCUUAUGAGGGAAGAGCGCCAUGGGCAUAGCCAGCUUGAAGUCUGUCUCUGAACAAGGCUCCUGACUUCCCCAGAGGACAUUUCUAAACUGGUUCCUACAGAGGUUUUUUUUGUUUGUUUUUGUUUUUUUGGUUCCUACAGAGUUUGAAAUGAAACUUGCCUCUUCUUAAAUCUCAGGUUGAUAAUUCCCACUCAAGAAGGUAAGCCUCUACUUCUAAAACAGCCUGCAGUUCUUUAAUUUCACUUUGCCAAUUCCCAACAGCCUUUGACUCACAGUGUUAGGAUAAAAGCAAGAGGGGGGAAAAAAACCCACAAUCUAAGGGGAGAAGAAAAAAAACUUGUAAAGAUGCUACAAGCCUAGGGAAAAAAGUUUUCUCCUUCCAUAAAGCGUGUAAAUAUCACCCUAUAAAAGGGUUCUAUAGGAGGCCUCUUUGUAAGAAGAAAAAUGGAGGUGACCAUAGCUUACCUUAACCCCCACUUGCACAUGAGGGCAUUUCUACAUGUAACAAGAAGUCACUUAAUGAAAGCGUGCUAUGAGAGAAAGGGUUAACACCCGGCCAGCUGAAGCUGGGCCUGGGGGAUGGGAGGGUGGGCUCAUUUUCCUCAAUUAUAAAAUAAGGGUAUUGAACUAGAUGCCUAGGAAGAAAAAGGCCCCUUCUGGCACUAGAAUCCUUGUACCAGGAUCAGUUUCUCCUAUACUAAGAGGGCCUGCUAACCAUCUUUUGUUGAAGAGGGCGGGGACACAAGAACAGCUGACAAUAGGACAGAGCCCCAACCAGAAGGGCUGUCCUGUAGGAGGAUGGCUCUACCAGUUCAAGGAUCCCACAGGUUGCCCUUUUCUUGGAUGUCUGCUCCACACUUCAAUCCACAGCCAUUUGUGAUUCCCCUCCCAGGAAUGGCGAUGGUUCUGAUUUACCAGACCUACCCUCCCACAUUUUAAAAAAUGAAUAACUUGAGGAGUGUGCUGGUGGUUGGCAGGAGGAUCCAGAAAGUUCCUGUGGGGGUGUUACAUCUAUCUAGCUUGAAUUAACAAGGCAGCAAGCAUGAAGGGAGUGGAGAGAGAUGAGGAGAGCAGACAGAUUGUAGGGAGUGAUUUGAGGAUUAACACUGAUAAUACAGAAAAUGCUGUGUCUCUGGAUAGGAGACUUGGAGAUAACAAGGCAGCUUCAGGAAGAGAGAUAAACCAUCCUCUGAAGCCAGAGGAAAAUAAAACACUGUCCUGUGAGUAUAUAGAAGGGAAAAAGGGGGGGGGGGGCUUUUAUACAAAACACAAUAAUGCUGCUAUUUCCUAAGUCCAGCUUGAGCUUUUCCCUUUUUUGCCCCAGAAUCAAAACCUGGUAGAAAGCUCUAAGUUAACUGAUCACUGCAGGGAAACCAACAGCUUGACAAGUCUUGACAAGUGCUCUUGGUAACAGCCUGAGGGUAGAGUCACCCUGGGUGGGAUACUGCUGGUCCAGUUGCAUGUCUCUCCCUGGGAGGGUACUCCUACUCCCAUCCUCAGCCUCUUAAAAAAUGGUAUCUUUCCUAUACAUCUUUUCACAGCACAGAAACAAACACAAGCCAGAGACAAAAGCUUGAAGGCAAGGGCAGCACGAUGAAAAAUGAGAACGUUUCCAAAAUGAAGAGUGGGCCCUUCAUGAGGCCCUGUGUGCUGCUGCGAGCCAAGCCACCCAGCAGCAGCUUUCUGCCUUGCCCAAGGACACCUGAGGAUCCCAGGGCAAGGCCCUCCCAGGCCCUCAGUGGGCUUGAUGAUAGGACCUAGGUGGGAUCUCUCCUCUGAGGCUGUCAGGAAGAUCCACUCUGCCCACUUUCCAUCAACCCAGACAGUGCCACACAGCUGAGGACCAGAGAGCAUACUUACAGGGAACAAU